RNAcentral lists this ribosomal RNA (667 nucleotides) under Pseudovibrio sp. AU487_Ted1_MB20NH4. RNAcentral's name for it is "bacterial SSU rRNA". It matches the Rfam family "Bacterial small subunit ribosomal RNA", at positions 61 to 774 of the family's 1533-position model. The record is from RNAcentral. Lineage: Bacteria; Pseudomonadati; Pseudomonadota; Alphaproteobacteria; Hyphomicrobiales; Stappiaceae.
GUCGAACGGAUCCUUCGGGAUUAGUGGCAGACGGGUGAGUAACGCGUGGGAAGCUACCUUGUGGUAGGGGACAACAGUUGGAAACGACUGCUAAUACCCUAUGAGCCCUAUGGGGGAAAGAUUUAUCGCCAUGAGAUGUGCCCGCGUUAGAUUAGCUAGUUGGUAAGGUAAUGGCUUACCAAGGCGACGAUCUAUAGCUGGUCUGAGAGGAUGAUCAGCCACACUGGGACUGAGACACGGCCCAGACUCCUACGGGAGGCAGCAGUGGGGAAUAUUGGACAAUGGGGGCAACCCUGAUCCAGCCAUGCCGCGUGUGUGAUGACGGCCUUAGGGUUGUAAAGCACUUUCAGCAGUGAAGAUAAUGACAUUAACUGCAGAAGAAGCCCCGGCUAACUUCGUGCCAGCAGCCGCGGUAAUACGAAGGGGGCUAGCGUUGUUCGGAAUCACUGGGCGUAAAGAGUACGUAGGCGGACUGAUAAGUUAGGGGUGAAAUCCCAAGGCUCAACCUUGGAACUGCCUUUGAUACUGUCAGUCUUGAGAUCGAGAGAGGUGAGUGGAACUCCGAGUGUAGAGGUGAAAUUCGUAGAUAUUCGGAAGAACACCAGUGGCGAAGGCGGCUCACUGGCUCGAUACUGACGCUGAGGUACGAAAGCGUGGGGAGCAAACA